AAUCACAAAAUGUGCCAGUUAUUAAUGAAUACAUGACUACAGUACAUCUGUGCUCAGCCUCCAGCGCAGAGUAUGGACAACAUGCCCUGUUAUGGUUCCCUGAGUACUGGAGGAAGAAGAAAAUUAUGAGGCAAGAGGAAUCGCUGGUGCUGUGUAGAUAGCGUUGCCCAGGUGACAUCCCAGGCGCCCCUGCUGGUCGGCCCGGACGACUGAACAUCCGUUCAGGUGAUCGGAAGCCAAGCCGGAAGUGAGGGACCCGGAAGCCGGGUGGUGGCGUGACAGGGACGGCUGGAGGUGCGCUGGAACAGCGGUUGCCCAGGUGACAUCUACGAAUUUGGGUUUCUAUGAAUUUGUGAACAGAUCACACAUGCUUUUUCGUGUUUGAAGAAUAAGCACUUCACCGAACAACUGAGAACAUCAUACAAUAGAUUAUUACAAAUGAAUGUAUUACUCAAUCAACAUGUGUGAUCCUUCUAUUUAUGUUAUGGAAGUUUAUAUGA
Molecule: long non-coding RNA, 500 nt
Organism: Pseudophryne corroboree (corroboree frog)
Lineage: Eukaryota; Metazoa; Chordata; Amphibia; Anura; Myobatrachidae
Exons: 3
Source: RefSeq, a predicted model, not a curated record